CCGAGCGCGAGUGUGUGCGUGUGCGAGCUGGUCGGGGGCGGCUGGUGCGGCGACGGCGGCAACGGCGGUGCGAGUCGCAUUGAACCGCGAUGAUCGUGCUGUGGGAGAUUGGAAAAUCUCCAUGCGUGCUAUGUUUGGCUAGGCAGACGAUGAACAAAUAGAGCCGGGUAUGAACGUAUGGCACAAGAUCUAACCAGCUUUUUCCGGGAUACCAGCAAGCGCUACAGCUGUUGCGCCGUCUUGUUACAGAAGGACUGGGCAUCCGCAGACACAAGUGCAGUCCUACAACCACUGCUGGUGUCAAGUGCAGGAAAAUAACAAGGGGCUCACAGAUUUUUGUUCUCUGGUACAGAGCAGCCGAGACAGCAUAAUGCUGGAUUGUAACUCUGUUGUUACAGUGUCUUUCACCAAGCACAGCUGUUCCGGGGACGGCCACGUGCUGUCUUUUUGCCUGUUUGCUACGGUCGACACGGUGGAGGCAGGUCGUGACAUUGCACGGACGGCUGGACACCGAAGCGACGCAGGCUGACCAUCAACCUUCUCAAGGGUGACCCAUCUUCAGCCUCCUGAGUACGCUGAAGGCAUCAUACUCACCUAGCCUGAGAAGCCAGUUCCGCCCUCCCUUGGCCACUGUGUCGAAGUUUCUGCGAAGCACCUUCUCGGCAGUGGUGCAGAGAUGCAGAAUGUCUGGGGAUGGACUGUGGAGACCGCCCUUGUCCUUGACACG
RNAcentral lists this long non-coding RNA (727 nucleotides) under Ixodes scapularis (black-legged tick). RNAcentral describes it as "uncharacterized LOC121837934, transcript variant X2". Lineage: Eukaryota; Metazoa; Arthropoda; Arachnida; Ixodida; Ixodidae. The record is from RNAcentral.